GUCCACGCCCUAAACGAUGUCGACUGGUUGUUGGGUGGGUAACCACUUAGUAACGAAGCUAACGCGUGAAGUCGACCGCCUGGGGAGUACGGUCGCAAGAUUAAAACUCAAAGGAAUUGACGGGGACCCGCACAAGCGGUGGAUGAUGUGGUUUAAUUCGAUGCAACGCGAAAAACCUUACCUACACUUGACAUGUCAGAGAUCCUGCAGAGAUGUGGGAGUGCCGCAAGGAAUCUGAACACAGGUGCUGCAUGGCUGUCGU
This 262-nucleotide ribosomal RNA is filed under the name uncultured bacterium. Its description in RNAcentral is "partial 16S ribosomal RNA". It matches the Rfam family "Bacterial small subunit ribosomal RNA", at positions 793 to 1055 of the family's 1533-position model. The record is from RNAcentral.